AUUGGCCAUACUGUCUUUAGGGUCAGCACUUAAGUGGAUUCAGGUCACCGUCCCGGGCUGCAAGUCGCCAUCGUGGGAUGACCUCAGAGAGGAGUUCCUGCCCGGGAAAGUAUCAGCGCUGCAGGCCAAAAUAUCAUCCGUCUUUGGCGGGAGCAGAGCAUGUCUGUAUCGCACUAGACGUGUGGACGUCGCGAUCUACGGAGGGUUUCCUGGCUGUCGAAGCAACAUUCGUGGACAGCGAUUUCACGGCUCACAUGUACCUCCUCAGUUUUACUCGUCUGAUGGGGAGCCACACAGAUGCUUGGAUCUGCUCCGAGUAUGACACUGCAUUGCUGCAGUGGAACAUCGCUGACAAGGUCCUUUGUGUGGUGACAGAUAAUGCUUCAUCAAUGAUAAAAGCCUUUUCAUUUACUGGGUGGGAGACUAAAGAGGACGAUGAUGAUGACAAUUUCGACGACUGCCUGGAACGCUGAACCAAGGAGCUUUUAAGCAAGUUCCAUCAGUUGGAGCAAUCUUGAUUUGGCUGCACCGCCCAUAGCCUGCAGCUUGAGGAAACUUCGCCAUUUGGCAGGCAUGUGCUAUUAAAUAACAUAUUGGUUUA
Dermacentor andersoni is the source of this 601-nucleotide long non-coding RNA. RefSeq lists it as uncharacterized. The record is from RefSeq and is a predicted model, not a curated record. Lineage: Eukaryota; Metazoa; Arthropoda; Arachnida; Ixodida; Ixodidae.